This 1253-nucleotide long non-coding RNA is filed under the name Marmota monax (woodchuck). The record is from RNAcentral. Lineage: Eukaryota; Metazoa; Chordata; Mammalia; Rodentia; Sciuridae.
UCCCAAUCCUCCUGUAUCAGCCUCCAGAGCCCCUGGGAUGACAGGUGUGUUGUAAUUCACCAUACCCUGCUUGUGAUUAUUUUUUACUACCUUCUUUUUUUUUCUACUCUCCAUGAGCAAGAAUAGUUGUCAUAGAUUCAUGGAAUUUUGGAACUGGAAGAACCUUUAGAGUAUUCUUUCCUGCACUCUGUUCCAUGAAUAUCCCCAUUAGUUAUUUGUUGUAUAUUAAAAUAAAUUGAUUUUUCAAUCAACAAGUUUUGGGGAGGGGUAGGUUCAAUAUUAUCAACACUGUUUUCACUGUGGGAUCUUUUCAGAGCCUUUAGGGUGCUGGCGAUCUGAAUCUCCGGUCAUGAAUUUGACCGCAGAACCCAUGUGACAGAGAAUGUAUCACAACCCUUUAGGAACAUUGGUUCUUGCAGAAAACUCUGGAUGGGAACUUGGAGAUGCCCAAAGAGGAAACAACUUCUCCUUGUUGGAAAAAGUAUAAACAGCAGCCAUACCCCAGAGAAAAAACCCCAACAUGGCGCCUAAGGACCUCUUCUUCCUACCUUCUUCUUUUCUGCAGUGGCGCGAAAAGUUCCCCUGUGAACUCUCCCGCCGGCGGCAAUUUCAAAUCUUGCUGGCGGGGAACCUUAGCUCCAAUGAGAACUAAUUCCUGGGCUCCGAAGCUGAUAUCUGGAAGAACUUGCCAAUAAACGGGUUGCCUGCCAUUUAUCUAAGCCCUACCAUCUCCCCCUUAGUUCUAUAUAAGCACACAGCUUUUUGCAAUAAAAUUGGAAUUCUCCCAGCGAAGUGUCUUUGCGUGGGGAAUUCUUUCACUCCUAGGCCCCUAGUUGGUCAGGGGCAGAGUCCUGAGUCCAGCCUGGGACUGCUGGUGCCUCUCCAGGAGGCUUUGCACUAAGCAUGCCACUCGCCCUGACAUGGAUUUCUGCAGAAGACCUUGGGCAAGAUAAGCAGCAAAACCACCUACUGAGGACAUGCCCUGGGUGUUAAGUGCCUUCUUCUGCCCUGUGAUCUCUGGCAAGUUGUUGCAGUCUCCUGGGCCGGUUUGUUCUCCUCUGUAAAUAAGGAUGAUUGCAUUUGCCUUCUGGUGGUGUUGAGAAUUUAAAUGAAAUGUGCAUGCAAAGCACAUACGUUAAUUAUAAAUCACCUAUCAUUGUCCUGGUCUGUGGUUGGUGCUUAAAAUAUGUUGACAGCUAUUGGUAAACAGUGUUUUAAGAGGGGGGAGGAGCAAAUCCAGCAGUAGGUAAAGG